This 432-nucleotide ribosomal RNA is filed under the name uncultured bacterium. Its description in RNAcentral is "partial 16S ribosomal RNA". It matches the Rfam family "Bacterial small subunit ribosomal RNA", at positions 29 to 507 of the family's 1533-position model. The record is from RNAcentral.
ACGAACGCUGGCGGCAUGCCUAACACAUGCAAGUCGAACGAGACCUUCGGGUCUAGUGGCGCACGGGUGCGUAACGCGUGGGAACCUGCCCUUAGGUUCGGAAUAACUCCCCGAAAGGGGUGCUAAUACCGGAUAAUGUCUUCGGACCAAAGAUUUAUCGCCUUUGGAUGGGCCCGCGUUGGAUUAGCUAGUUGGUAGGGUAAAAGCCUACCAAGGCGACGAUCCAUAGCUGGUCUGAGAGGAUGAUCAGCCACACUGGGACUGAGACACGGCCCAGACUCCUACGGGAAGCAGCAGUGGGGAAUAUUGGACAAUGGGCGAAAGCCUGAUCCAGCAAUGCCGCGUGAGUGAUGAAGGCCUUAGGGUUGUAAAGCUCUUUUACCCGGGAUGAUAAUGACAGUACCGGGAGAAUAAGCGCCGGCUAACUCCGUG